Vespa velutina is the source of this 3788-nucleotide long non-coding RNA. RefSeq lists it as uncharacterized. The record is from RefSeq and is a predicted model, not a curated record. NCBI's taxonomy places the organism in Eukaryota, Metazoa, Arthropoda, Insecta, Hymenoptera, Vespidae. The transcript has 3 exons.
ACGACAAGUUUACAUUUGAUUAUAUUUUUUAUUGUUAAAAUAUCAGAAGUUUAAAAAAAAAAAAAGGAAACCUCUUAAGAAAAAUUGAAUUUGUUUUUCCAAAACGAAGAAAUUGAUUCUCAAAAGAGGUGAGAAUUUGAAAACUACCAUUUAAUUAAAAACAUUGAUCAUUUAUUAUUGAAAAUACAGAUCGAAUAAAAAAUAGGAGUCAUUUGAAAAAAUAUUUUUAUUCGACGGUAAUUUAUCAUCCUCCAUGGGAUUAUACGAAUGUGACGUUACCUUUCUAAUUAUAAACAAAAAUAAGUAUAAUAAGUACAUAUUUGAAAGAUGGAUAUACGAAAUAUGAAGGUAGUUUAAAUAGAGAGAAAGAGAAUGAGAGAUAGAGAAAGAGAGAGAGAGAAAGAGAGAGAGAGAGAAAGAAAGAGAGAGAGAGAGAGAGAGAGAGAGAGAAGGAGAAAAAGAGAAAGAAAGAGAAAAAACAAAAUAUAAAUUCGUUUUUGUUUCGAAUCUCUAUUAUCCUUUGACUCUACCAAAGCGAUAGGGGUCGACCUAUCAACAGCAGCACCAGAGUACCAACAAGAGAACUCUCUCUCUCAUUCUCUCUUUCUCUCUCAUUCUCUCUUUCUCUCUCAUUCUCUCUCUCUCUCUCUCUCUCUCUCUCUCUCUCUCUCUCUCUCUCUCUCUCUCUCUCUCUCUCUGUCUAUGUUGCUUUCGUCCUCCUCCGGCUUGAGAGUUCGACCGAAGGUCUCGCCGAGCAUUCGUUCGUUCGUCAGCCGUCUGCGAAGUCGUCUGACAGAAGCCACAACGCCGUUUCUCACCUUACCAGUCGCUCGCAUUUCAUCGAUCGCUGAGGAUCGAUCCUUUGGCUUAUAUACACAUAUAUCGACGUGUUUUCUUUUCUUUUUUUGUUUUUUCUUAAUCUUUAUCGACGUAUUGUAUUGUUCGAUAGAGAGAAGGUGCUUCGAGAGAGACCGGGUGAUUCAUAGUGAUUGAGAGUGCAUCGAAAGGAAAGGAGUGGGGGAUAUUCUAUACAUCUUUUUUUUGCGAUUCGAAUUUUUGAAUUAGAUCGUCAUUUUAUUCAAUCGAUUUUAUGGAUCAAGUUUAUCUAGUCGAUUUGAGGAAAAAGAGUAAAAGAAAGAAAAGAAAAGAAAUAAAAAAAGGAAAAAGAGAAGAUAUAAAAUGUACACCAUUAGCGACGGAAGCGAGUAUCGCCGAGGAGCAAUCGCAUUAAGUCGCUCUUUGAAGAGAAGCUUCUCUAAGAGCCAGGAAGCCGAAGGUCGACGGCCGUGUCGCAUUAUCCUCGGUAGGAUGCUUAAUAACAUUUUUCAUGUCCUUCCAACGUGGCCGCGGAGAAGAAGAGAAAGAAGACGAAGAAGAAGAAGAAGAAGGAGAAAUAGAAAAAGAAAAGGAAGAAGAAGAUUUGACAGAGAAAGAUAGAGGAAUAAGAAUAAUAAGAAUAAUAAUAAUAAUAAUAAAAAGAAGGAGAAGAAGAGCUUUCAACUUUCAUCAUUAAUACCAUCGGAACCAUAGGAUUUAACAAUUUAGUUCAACUUCCUAUGGUUGAUAAGCCAAGUGCAACGUGUCAAAAAUUAGAACGCGACGAGUUUCGUGAUUUACGCAAAAGAGUUUCGAUUCGAUACGAUACGUUGCCACACUUGACGGCCAUUUUCUUUUCUUCUUCUUUCUUCCUCUUUUUCUUCAUUUUUUUCUUUCUUUCUUUCUUUCUUUUUAAUCGCCGCCAUUACGAAUCGGGUUUGCCAGCGCGCGAGGUCAUCCUUAGCAGCAGCAAAUGUCGUCUUGGUACUUUGGAGGAGGAAUGAAAGAUUAACGUGAAUCAAAGUAGUAACGAGAAGAUCGUUGAUAUUUUAAUCUUCUUAACUUAGCAUAACUCAUGAGAGUUCUUGUUUGAGAAAAAACAGAUCGCUCGUACGAGAAAAGAAAAGAAGAUAAAAAACAAGAAUAUACGUUUACACGUGCGCGUACGCAUGCACGAACACAUAUAUACAUACAUACAUACACAUACACGUACACGUACACGUAUACAAAGACGAUUUUUACUUUAUACGAAUCUCUCUGUUCGUUGUGUAUGUGGAGAUCCAUGAGAAUCACUGUUGAGUGUACGUCUGCUGCCAUCUCUUCCAACGACGGACCCAUAGACUGGAGUGUAACUUAACCGCAAACUCGGUGAAUCACCCGAAGGACGGUCUCUCUCUCUCUCUCUCUCUCUCUCUCUCUCUCUCUCUCUUUCUUUCUUUCUCUCUCCCUUUCUCCAGGAUCCCUCUUCGAGAACUUCAGAAUAUCUCGUCUUAAUACUUACUCGAGGAGUUGCAAUAAACUCUUGGAUCUCUGAGACUAUCGAUCCUCUCUUUAGACUACUCAUCCUUGUCUUCUUUUUCUUAACGAGUUUAAAAAGAAACAGUUAAAGAAAAAAGCAAGAAAAAGGCAAAGAGAAAGAGAGAGAGAGAGAGAGAGAGAGAGAGAGAGAGAGAGAGAGAGAGAGAGAUAAGGAAAAACAAGGAAAGGAUCCUAGCGAUCCUGAUUGGAACUGUCUCGUAGGCUUGCCAAGUCGAUUAGAGUUACUCUAAGGAAUAAAACAAGUAUUCUUAUCGAGAUACACGAAGUACAUACGUAUGUAUAAAUGAUUUUUCAUUGUUAUCUAUUCCUUCUUAUCUUUUCGAAGGAUGGAUCACAAGUUUAGAGGGAACGUACAAAUGUGUAGAGAAAACUCGUUGCUGCUAACAACAGUUAAGAGAUAGAUAGAUAUAAGAAAAAUUAUAUUUUUCAAUUAAAUCAUUUUUAAGAAGGUAUAAGUUUUUAUUCGUGUGUUCGUAUAUAUAUAUAUAUUUAUGUGUGUUUGAUAUAUCUUCAAAAGCUCUUUCCAGACGAUUUAUUGUAUUCAUUAUCAUGGAAAAUCCAUUUUGUCCAUAUUCCAUCUACACCCACGUAGGUUUGCAUAUACUGACUCUUCGUACUUAACCUUAGAUCCUUUAUAAUUUUAUAUAUGUAUAGUGUGCGAGUGUAUGUGUCUGUGUAUGUGUGUAUGUGAGCGUUACAUGUACAAUGCCAAGACGAUGGAUAGUGGGUGUAGUAGUCAGAAUAUGAAGUUUAUUAAGCAUUCAACUCAUAAUGGGUUUAAUGAAUCGGACGAUCUCGUGUGUGUGUGUGUAUGUGUGAGAGAGAAAGGGGUGGGGAAAGAGAAAGAGAGAAAGGAAGAGAGAGAGAGAGAAAGAGAAGGAGAGAGAGAGGGGGAGAAAAUUUGCAAACAGGUAUGGACGUCAGCCGUCGUGCUUCACCGGCGAAAUCGCCCGAAGGAGUAUAUCUUAAGAAAAAGAAAUAGAAUUCGCGAAAGAAAUAGAAAAGAUGAGGUUCUAUUCUGCAAUACGUCGUUAUAAUUGUAGUGGAACAUGUUUCUUUUUUUUUCCGUUUUUCUUUCUUUUUUUUUCCUUCCAAGCGAGUAUAAUCGCUUAACAAUCUUUUCUGUGCUCGCAAUUAAUUGUCCAUUACACUUAUUAUUAUUAUUAUUAUUGUUGUUAUUGUUGUCAUUGUUGUUAUUAUUAUUUCUUUCUCUUUGAAUCCAAACAAAUAAGGAAUAGUUUGAAUCGUAUAAUUUAAAUGGAUCUAUUCAAAUUUCGAGCCAUAAGGACUAUUCGAUUUUACUUAUAUAUGUAUAUAUAAACACACACAUUUAAUAUAUAUCAAAUUAAUAUAUACGGGGGUGGAACCAAAGUUUCUAGGUGAUUUUAAAAAUCGUUUACUCUUUUUCGAAAUCUUUUAGAUUACUUUUUCUA